This 68-nucleotide transfer RNA is filed under the name Limnoperna fortunei. Its description in RNAcentral is "tRNA-Asp". It matches the Rfam family "tRNA". Rfam says of the family: Transfer RNA (tRNA) molecules are approximately 80 nucleotides in length. Their secondary structure includes four short double-helical elements and three loops (D, anti-codon, and T loops). The record is from RNAcentral. Lineage: Eukaryota; Metazoa; Mollusca; Bivalvia; Mytilida; Modiolidae.
GGAAAGAUAGUUUAAGUAAAAUAUCGGAUUGUCAUUUCGAAGCUGAGGGUUGGACCUCUUUUUCUUUC